RNAcentral lists this long non-coding RNA (366 nucleotides) under Apteryx rowi (Okarito brown kiwi). Its description in RNAcentral is "lncRNA (ENSARWG00000008856.1)". Lineage: Eukaryota; Metazoa; Chordata; Aves; Apterygiformes; Apterygidae. The record is from RNAcentral.
CUUUUCCAGCUGUGGACUACAUGAUCUUGAAAGCACAACUUGAAACUGAGAUCAGAUGAACCCUCUGGACCUGGCCAGAGGACAAGUUUCCUUUUGCUGGAUCCAGUAAUUCUCUCACCUCUGUGGAAAUCCUGCUUUUCAAUGUGCAUGCUUGCUGUCAAGGUAUACAAGGAGCAUAAAGAAGGUAUAAAAGGACUAUGAAAGAAGACUAGCUCAGGCAUCUGCAUUUCAUGAGCUGAAAAAAAGACUUGUGUCAUGCUCCCAAGGAAGUAAAAAGGGUCAUGAAACGAAGACAAAAGCUACUGAAAAGCUUUUUGAAACCAUGUCAUUAAAAGUAAACCGAAAUCAUUCAGAUCUGGAUAAAUG